AUAGACCAGAACAGCUCAAGGACAGAACAACAUGAAUUUAAAAAGGCAAACGUAGCCUUCAUAUCAAUACACACAAACUAUCUAGGUCAAAUAGGGGAGAGGCGAUGUGAGGUGUUGCUUUAUCUGUUGUUUGAAACCAGGUUUGCUGUUCAUCUCAACAAUAUGAGAUGGAACGGAGUUCCAUGCAAUAAUGUCUCUAUAUAAUACCGUACGCUUUCUUGAAUUUGUUCUGGAUUUGGGGACUGUGAAAAGACCCCUGGUGGCAUGUCUGGUUGGAACUCAACCACACGACUGGACAAUAAUGAAGAUAAAACACAACUAGAGCCUGCAGGACUCAGAGCAUCUCUGAAUCUAUAUGUUUUGACCAUGACAGUUUACAAUCUAAGCCAUGUGUUUGUGUGUGUCUGUGUACUUUAUUCAAGUCACUGUUAUGACAGGACAUUUUACUCCCAGUCCCGAGCUGCUGCCAGAGCAGGAUGAUCAUAAUGCCGUCUUCUCCAUGGCAACACGUCCUAUGGGUUCUAUUCUGACCACGAGAGACUAACAG
This is a long non-coding RNA of Oncorhynchus tshawytscha (Chinook salmon), 547 nucleotides long. The record is from Ensembl. Lineage: Eukaryota; Metazoa; Chordata; Actinopteri; Salmoniformes; Salmonidae.